GGAGAGGCCAGCCGAUUGGCGGCGGCAACUGUUCCGAAAACAGUCUGCCCUUACGGGCGUGUGGGUUCGACUCCCACUCUCUCCG
RNAcentral lists this transfer RNA (85 nucleotides) under Bifidobacterium longum subsp. longum. RNAcentral describes it as "tRNA-Ser". It matches the Rfam family "tRNA". Rfam says of the family: Transfer RNA (tRNA) molecules are approximately 80 nucleotides in length. Their secondary structure includes four short double-helical elements and three loops (D, anti-codon, and T loops). Lineage: Bacteria; Bacillati; Actinomycetota; Actinomycetes; Bifidobacteriales; Bifidobacteriaceae. The record is from RNAcentral. RNAcentral also lists the same sequence under 8 other names.